Molecule: small nucleolar RNA, 74 nt
Organism: Gigantopelta aegis
Lineage: Eukaryota; Metazoa; Mollusca; Gastropoda; Neomphalida; Peltospiridae
Source: RefSeq, a predicted model, not a curated record
UUUGCCAAUGAUGAUUUUUUCACAGCGCUUUGAUGCUAAUGAAACCAAAAACAUGCACUACCAUCUGAGGCAAA